UAAAGACUUAAAAAAACCAACCAUAUAAAGAAAAUUACAUUCUGCAUUCUUUAUGGUUUUAGCGAAACCUUUAACUUUAGUAUUCCAACUCAUAAAUUCUAGAAUGUCUUCAGAAGCGGUCAUGUACUAUUUAAUACUCAAUAAUUAAUUGGCAAAAUUUUUACUUUUUAGAAAUACUCUAGAAACAGCAGAGUUGCUAGAAUUCCUAUUCUACCUUAGUUUAAUCCUAAGUAUUUCUCUUUAGCCUUUAACAAGAAAGAUAGUAAUUCUUUGGCAUUAUUGGGAAUGAAAACUUUCCAAGUUCAAUGUUAUUGAAAGUUCCCCCAAACAUAUUUAUAUAUAGGAAAAGGAACAAAAGCAGUUGAGAAAAUACCAUUUUCAUUUCUUUGAUGUGCAUCAUCUAAAAAGUAGAUAGAGACAGGGAAUAGAGUAGGGAUAAUAACAGUAAUGUAUUAUGUUCUAUCAAAAUAGUAUUGGAAAAGGCUUCACUUAAAACUG
This 498-nucleotide long non-coding RNA is filed under the name Bos taurus (domestic cattle). RNAcentral describes it as "long non-coding RNA NONBTAT002668". Lineage: Eukaryota; Metazoa; Chordata; Mammalia; Artiodactyla; Bovidae. The record is from RNAcentral.